ACUGAUAAUGUGCAAGUCUUUCUCCAGAUCAAACAAUGAGAUGCCACAGGCAUGUAAGCAUUUUCUUGCAAGCUUAAGCUGCAGUUCUUGUUGCAGCACUGGCUCAGUACUUGUUGCAAAUAUUCGCACUACAAAGCCAUCAUCUCUAGAUGCUGCUAUUUGAUUAACAUAUUCUCCAUCAGUGAAGAGGAUAUUCUGCCCUUCAGUAUGACAAUCUGGUAAAGCAACUGUACCGUCCUGCUCCAAAGUUUCAGGAUUUAUUCUUAUGGCUGUCAUACUGUGAUUGUUCGCAUCUCUAUAUAAUAAAUAGCCCUGAGCAUAGCCUAACCAAGACUUUUUUUCCUUUCUGUUUUUGAUGCGAGAUGUAGAAUUGUAUAUAUGGCCCCUCACUGUCCCGCUAUAUCCAGAGCCAAUCUUGUAAAGUCCAUCUUUACAUAAGAGAUAAAGGAAGAAACCAUCACUCUGAAGUAGGCACUGGUCAUCUUCAUCUACAGAUAUUUCCUUCAGUGGCCAUUUGUGCAUCAAGGCUGCCUUCUUUAUCCCAUUACUGAACCAGUCUUGGAUUUGGAUUUUGC
Molecule: long non-coding RNA, 575 nt
Filed under: Gallus gallus (chicken)
Lineage: Eukaryota; Metazoa; Chordata; Aves; Galliformes; Phasianidae
Source: RNAcentral